Long non-coding RNA from Candoia aspera, 308 nucleotides. RefSeq lists it as uncharacterized. The transcript has 2 exons. Lineage: Eukaryota; Metazoa; Chordata; Lepidosauria; Squamata; Candoiidae. The record is from RefSeq and is a predicted model, not a curated record.
UUGGGUUUGGUCCAUUCUUGAUGACUGACAAUCAAGAAUGAACUUCUUUGUCAAUUAACUUGUUUCAGAUUAUAGAUCUUAAACACCGUAUAUACCAAAAGGAAGCAAAGAUGACAGAGAACAAUUUUCCAAAUGUCUUCUUCUUCUUAAGGCACCCCAUAUUUCUUUAUGCACAAACCAGCCACGUUUAGGACAAAGUCUGCAAAGCUUGCUCAGUCCAAAGCAGACUUGCCAACUUGCCAGGUCUUGAAAUUUCAGCUCCCUUUUCACAUAGAAUUUUAAAUAAUAAAGAUAACAGUGUUUGCCAA